RNAcentral lists this long non-coding RNA (1420 nucleotides) under Homo sapiens (human). RNAcentral's name for it is "HSALNT0053351". The record is from RNAcentral. Lineage: Eukaryota; Metazoa; Chordata; Mammalia; Primates; Hominidae.
UUUUGCUUUUUUAAAACAAUAAAGUGAGAGGACAAAUGGAAACUCAGAGGUGUUCUUAGGCAAAUAAAACCAGAAAAGUAUGUGGAUGAAAAUUAAGGGUCUGGAAAUCUGGUUGCCUGAAAAACCCAUGCUCAGUAUUCCUUGGAACUUUUUCACAGGCCCCUAUAGGUGAUUGCUUUUCUUCCCUAGGUGCUUUCCUGUCUUUACAAAUGACGCUUACAUCCAUUGUUUCAUUUGCUCUUGCCACAGUGGGUUGAGGGGGAGGGCAAGAGCUCCCAUGUCCAUUUUACAGUUGUGUAGACAGAGUUCAGGCAUAUUAGGUGACUGUUCCAGGGCCGUGGGGCUUUGGCCAAGAUUGAAAUAAUAUUGAUUAUUCAGAAAGAAAUGUAUCUAGAUAGAUAGAUUGUAAAUGAUUAUGUAAGUCUUGUUAGGGAUAAAGAUUUUCCACGUAAUAAAAAUGGAACUAAUAUAAAAUUAAAAUAUUUCACAGAAAAUCACAUAAUUCUAAAUUUAAAUGGGAGGUAACAUCAUGAUCUAUUUCUUUUUCUAGAAAAUGUCUGCUUCCUACCUUUGUUCUUUGGAAGGGCCUAGAAGCAACAACAACUCAGUAGCAGUGGCACCCUUAAUGCCCCCCAACUACUGGUUUACAAGAAGUGUGGAGUCUAAAGGGGCAUGUAAACAACACAGUAAAGAGGCAACCAGCUAAGAUAAGAAUAUGGAAAUUCUACAGGCCAAAUGCCCUAAUUGCUUCAACAAAUAAUGGCAUACAAGAGUCAAGGGAAAUAUGUUACAGAUAAAUAGUCAAAUACAAUGUGCAGACCUUGUUUGCAUCCUACUUUAAGCAAAAUAACUAUAAAAUGACACUUUUGACACAAUCUGGGAAAUUUAAACAGACUGUAUAAAAUGAUAUUCAGUAAAUAUUGUUUUUUAGGUAUUAUAAUGGUAUGGGGUUAUGAAAAAUACAUUCAACUAUUCAGGAUAUAUAUAUUCAAGUAUAUACAGACAAGAUCAGAUGAUGUUUGGAACCUGCUUUAAAAUAAUGCAGCAUUCUGCCAUCCUGUAUCUUUUAAGAGGAACAUUUAGACAGUUUACAUUCAACAUUCAUAUUAAGAUGUGAGGUACUAGUCUCUUAUUCAUGUUGUUACCUAGAUAGUUUUGUUGUUGUUGUGUUAUUGUUUUAUAGGCCCUAUGAGUUUUAAGCUUUCAAGAGGUUCUAUUUUGGUGCAUGUCGGGCUUCAAGAGACUCAACCUAACAUGGAAGGAUUUAUAUAAACUCAAGCCAUGUAAGACACGCCUGCUUCCUCUUCACCUUCCACCGUGAUUGUAAGUUUCCUGAGGUCUCCCCAGAAGCAGAAGCUGCUAUGCUUCCUGCAUAGCCUGCAGAACUAUGAACCAAUUAAACCUCUUUUCUUUAAAAUUA